GCUACACACCCCCUUUUCAGUGAGAUCACAUUGCCCACCGCAGAGAAGUUGCAGCACACUCGAGCCCUGCUUGGCAUUUUUCAGGUGGUUCCUGCGCACACUUAGGACACUUUUCCAGCCGCCUGACUCAGGACCGAAGACGUCCCAUCUGCACAUAGGCGUUUGGAGGACAGGAACAGGACAGGACUCUCACCCUCAACACGCACAGCAGCACCACCACAGACAUGUCGGACUCCGAGACCGCCGCUGCCCCCGCCGAGGCCCCCGUCCCUGCUGCCUGUGCCGCCAUCAAGGCUGACCUGGACAAAUGUGUGGCAGAGAAAGGAGCCGAGGGCUGCAAAGAUCUGAUGGAGGCCUUUGCUGCUUGUGUGAAGAGUGCAGCUGAGGGGACGUCAUGAGGAGUCGCCCUCCAACCUCAAAUGUCCACUGCACUGAGUCCUCCAAGUUCCCAGCAUUCCCUUCUGCGCACCAGCACUGGACUGAAUGAUGACAACAAUGACGACAACGAUGAUGAUGCUGAUGAUGAUCAUGGUGUGACGAACACUGUGUUGAUUCGGGCUGAGUUAGGGAUCUGGCAGCAGUAAACCACAGUUUCCUCCCCCUGUCCUUCCCCCUGUUAUAGGCUUAUCUGGUGUCCCUCAGUCUUACCGCCAUUCCCCCUCUCCCUCUAUGACUGACAUAAAGUACAUCGACUUGUAGACAACUCCAGAGGGCCGAUGGGCUGUGAUGUAAAUUGUCAACUUGAAAUGAAUACUUAUAAAUGGAAAUAAAAGUAUCAAAUAAUUGGUUUAAAAACAGA
This is a long non-coding RNA of Seriola aureovittata, 799 nucleotides long. RefSeq lists it as uncharacterized. The record is from RefSeq and is a predicted model, not a curated record. Lineage: Eukaryota; Metazoa; Chordata; Actinopteri; Carangiformes; Carangidae. The transcript is spliced from 4 exons.